ACAGGAGAAUGGGGUUGAGUGGAGAAGAUAGAUCAGUCAUGAUUGAAUGGCGGAGUAGACUUGAUGGGCCGAAUGGCCUAAUUCUGUUCCUAUCACUCAUGAAUAUUAAAAUUAUUAAAAUACUAUAAUGAGAAAGGUAAAGUCCCCAGUUUAAUGCUUGGCUUUAUCAAACUCUGCCUUUGGACUCCCAUUGAAUUCCAUAACUCCAGUACAUAUCUACAUGGGAAUGGCAAAUUGUCAAAUUGCCUGCCUGCCCACUGACAUUAUAAACCUUCAAUGUCAUCAAACCCUGGGCACCUUCCUCAACCUGUAAAAUGUAUGCAAUAUGUGAGAACUGCCAGGAAAUGUCCUCCUUGUAACUCUGCAGUAAACUGCAACUCUACGGAUAAUCGAAGAAACAAGGGAGUUACUUUGAGAUAGUAAAUGGUACAGAAUAUCGGUGAAGUCUUUAGAUUUAAAUUCUGUUUUAAGCAUUUUGGUGACUUGUAAUUGUAUAAAAGUACAAAUAAACAAAGAUAUAUUAUUCAAGUUUGGAAGUGUGGCAUGUAUUCAUGAGCAAUGUUUAGCCAGAGCUCGAAGCAUAAUUUUGGGUUUAGAUUUAUUAUUGUCAUGUGUACAUUGAAAAGACAGGCCCAUACGAAGCUUUUCGAAAAGGGAGGUGGCAUGACAGGUUUACAAACAUUUUAUGUGAAAUCAGUGCACGCAGCGCAUAUCACAAGA
Molecule: long non-coding RNA, 720 nt
Organism: Amblyraja radiata (thorny skate)
Lineage: Eukaryota; Metazoa; Chordata; Chondrichthyes; Rajiformes; Rajidae
Exons: 3
Source: RefSeq, a predicted model, not a curated record